RNAcentral lists this unclassified non-coding RNA (364 nucleotides) under Hevea brasiliensis (rubber tree). The record is from RNAcentral. Lineage: Eukaryota; Viridiplantae; Streptophyta; Magnoliopsida; Malpighiales; Euphorbiaceae.
CCACUGUCAUUGGCAUUAAAUGAAUCAAACCUUGAGAACCCUUGACCAUGGCCAGAGUCUCUGGUUUCUCUAAAUGAAUCAAAACUUGAUGGAAACCCAUGACUGUUAUCAGAGUCUCUAAAUGAAUCAAACCUCAAUGGGAACCCGUGACUGUUAUCAGAGUCUCUAAACGAAUCAAAUCGUGAGAACCCAUGACUCUGAUCAGAAUCUCUGAACGAAUCAAACCUUGAGAACCCGUGACUUUGAUCAGAAUCUCUGGAUUCUCUAAAUGAAUCAAACCUUGAUGGGAACCCAUAACUUAGAUCAGCGUCCCUAGUGCUGUUCAUGGAAUCAAAUCUUCCAAGUGAAUGGCGUGGGGAUUGAA